This 253-nucleotide ribosomal RNA is filed under the name uncultured bacterium. RNAcentral's name for it is "partial 16S ribosomal RNA". It matches the Rfam family "Bacterial small subunit ribosomal RNA", at positions 524 to 776 of the family's 1533-position model. The record is from RNAcentral.
UACGUAGGGUGCGAGCGUUAAUCGGAAUUACUGGGCGUAAAGCGUGCGCAGGCGGUUGUGUAAGACAGGUGUGAAAUCCCCGGGCUUAACCUGGGAACUGCGCUUGUGACUGCACGGCUAGAGUACGGCGGAGGGGGGUGGAAUUCCACGUGUAGCAGUGAAAUGCGUAGAUAUGUGGAGGAGCACCGAUGGCGAAGGCAGCCCCCUGGGCCGAUACUGACGCUCAUGCACGAAAGCGUGGGGAGCAAACAGG